UCCUACGGGGGGCAGCAGUAAGGAAUCUUAGACAAUGGGGGAAACCCUGAUCUAGCCAUGCCGCGUGAUCGAUGAAGGCCUUAGGGUUGUAAAGAUCUUUCAGAUGGGAAGAUAAUGACGGUACCAUCAGAAGAAGCCCCGGCUAACUCCGUGCCAGCAGCCGCGGUAAUACGGAGGGGGCUAGCGUUAUUCGGAAUUACUGGGCGUAAAGCGCACGUAGGCGGAUCAGAAAGUCAGAGGUGAAAGCCCGGGGCUCAACCCCGGAACGGCCUUUGAAACUCCUGAUCUUGAGGUCGAGAGAGGUGAGUGGAAUUCCGAGUGUAGAGGUGAAAUUCGUAGAUAUUCGGAGGAACACCAGUGGCGAAGGCGGCUCACUGGCUCGAUACUGACGCUGAGGUGCGAAAGCGUGGGGAGCAAACAGGAUUAGAUACCCGUGUAGUCC
RNAcentral lists this ribosomal RNA (442 nucleotides) under uncultured bacterium. Its description in RNAcentral is "bacterial SSU rRNA". It matches the Rfam family "Bacterial small subunit ribosomal RNA", at positions 337 to 796 of the family's 1533-position model. The record is from RNAcentral.